Long non-coding RNA from Asparagus officinalis (garden asparagus), 551 nucleotides. RefSeq lists it as uncharacterized. NCBI's taxonomy places the organism in Eukaryota, Viridiplantae, Streptophyta, Magnoliopsida, Asparagales, Asparagaceae. The transcript has 3 exons. The record is from RefSeq and is a predicted model, not a curated record.
CCCCCACUAAACUUUCCAGGCUCCCUCGUCAGAUCCUCGUCAAAUUCGUCAUAUCCUCAUCUUCGUGGUCUUCCCCAUUCGUCAUCUUCGCCGUUCUCCGUUCUCCGUUCGCCGUUCGCCGUUCUCCGUUCGCCGUUCGCCGUUCUCCGUUCGCGUCGUCAUCCUCGUCCAGGCGUCGUUCGUCAUCUUCACCGUCAGAUCCUCGUCCAGGCGUCAGAUCCUCAUCCAGUCGUCAUCCUCGUCCAGGCGUCGUUCGUCAUCUUUGCCGUCAGAUCCUCGUCCAGGCGUCAGAUCCUCGUCCAGUCGUCAUCCUCAUCCAGUCGUCAUCCUUGUCCAGGCGUCGUUGGAGAACAAUGCUACCUCUUUCACUUCUCAAGACAGCACAAGGCCACCCCAUGGAAUCACUAGGUGCUUUUUCAAGUGGAAUACAUCUUGCUACUACCAAAAGGAGAUCUGGAAGUUAUAUGAUUCAUCCUUUUCUUGCCUUUUCAUUUUGUCCUCCCUUUGUUUCUAGAACCAGUCUGGCUUACUAUAACACGCUUUCAAUGUCA